AAAUCUGUUAGUUGAAGUUUUCAGUGACACGGAUUCUGGACCCACAGCGGGAAUAAUGAUGUUCUGCAGAGUGGCUUGGCAAAGACUUGCGGCUCUGGGACACAAAACACUCAAUCCUUUCAGCAAUGCUGUGUUCCCUACGCGACAGAUGUCCUUUGGUCUACCUGUGUCCGGCACAAACAUAGCUUACAUGGUACUUGGUGGCAGCUCGCUUACUGCUGCUCUUGUUUAUGCUUAUAAGACAAUAAACUCUGACAGUGCAAGAUAUAAUGAAAGAAUUGCUCAACUCGAGGCCAGACCUAAAAGUGAGGAGGGUGAGUAUAAAUUUAGCCUCUGUCUUAACAGCAUGUCUGUUUUUGAGUGUUUGAAAAUGCAGUCAUUAAUCAAAACAAAACUUUUCUAUAAAUUUUGGUGUGUCCCAUUUUACUUGCUUUGCCUACAGCAAUAUGUAUCACGUAACUCAGAACAGAAGCAUUUUCCAAUAAUAGUUGCACAACUUUUUAGUGUUUGCAGACAGUUUAAGUUGUGGCAAUUCAAAGUAAGCAUGAUUGAUGACAGCCAUGGAACUCUGAACUUAGUAAAAGUGCUUUCAUAUUAUUAUCAUCAGAGUGACUUUCACAUGUUAUUAACUUACACUACCAUACAAUUUUUUUUUUUUUAGUUAAAUUGAUCAAAACUGACAGGAAAGACAUUUUUAAUGCUACAAAAGAUUUCUAUUUGAAAUAAAUGCUGUACUUUUUGGACUUUCACCUCAUGGUGAAUUUUUUUUUUUUUAAGCAGCACAACUGUUUUCUAAAUAAAAAAAUGUGCGCACGAUUUACUAAUUCAUUCCCUCGAUGUACUAAAAUGUGCACAAUUUACUAUUUCGUUCCCUCAGUUUGCUAAUUCAUUCUCUUGAUUUAUUAAAUUGCACAAUUUAUAAAUUGAGGGAACGAAAUGGUAAAUUGUGCACACAAUUUAGCCUUAUAUUUUUUUCCUACAUGCCAUGUGCGGGGCUCCGUAAUUGUCAACACUGAUAGUAAUAAGAAAUGUUUAUUGAGCAGCAAAUCAGAAUAUUAGAAUGAUUUCUAAAGGAUCAUGUGACACUGAAGUCUGGAGUAAGGAUGCCAUCAAAGGAAUUAAUUACAUUUUAAGACACAUUAAAACAGACAUUUUACAUUAUAAUAUUUCAAAAAAAAAUUUUUUUUUCAUCAAUGCUUUUGUUGUUUGCUUGGUGAUUGGUCUGCACUGUCUUGAGCAUCCAUGCAGGUUCUUUACAAUCUAAUUCUGAGGCACUGGGCAAGUAUGGUUCACUUUGAGCUCCCAAAAAGUUUCUAAUGCUAACUCUAAGAGCUUGGAUUCUUUGAAGUCUAAUCUUAUUGAAUGGUUUCCACUAUUUAUGUGCACAUCGUCCUGUUCUCAUAAUCUCUUUAAUGUCGUUCUAUUAAUGACAGAUGGAUUUAGCAACACUUGAUUCUAACCCUCUUUAUUUAGUAUAAGAACACAUUUCCUAAGUCUGCUUUAACUUUUUAAUCACACUUGAUCUUGGAUUUUCUUUGGAUCAGGUUGCCAUUUCUUGAAGUCCUGCUCACUGUAUUCCAUUUAGGAGCAGUGGCCGAGGUGGCCUCAGUAGCAGAAGCAGCUGAACUUGCCACAGUUGUUGAGGCCACAGCAGCACAACCCGUCACUGAGGUUGUUAAAGCAGAGGCUGAACAGACCCCAGAACCUGUGGAUGCAACACUGGAAGUUGGGGCAGCAACUACCAUUGUAGAGGCAGUAGCAGCUGAUGCUGAGGAACCUACUGCACCUGUUGUUGAGGAUGUUGCUGCUGAGGCUGCUUCUCCCAGUGCCGAGACAACCGGUGCGGCGUCUUCUGCUGAGGAAGCAGUCUGAAUCCCCAGCAGUCUAGAUAUGUGAUUCUUCCCAACCCACCUCGGAACGCUGCAUUAACUUUUAGAGACUCCCAUUUGUGUGCUCCUUUUAACUGAUUGACUGUGUCCUCUGCACAAAAAAGAAGUGUCCCUUCUGAACUCCACAGGGUGCUAAUCCCACAGUUGAGGAGGAGAAGAGGUUAAGGAAGUCCAAAAAUCAGUGGCAACACUUUUAAAUUCCAAACGGCGGUUUUAUCAUCCCAGUCUGUGUUUUGAUGCUUGAAUAUCUAAUGUAAAUAUGAUUUUUUCUUUUUUUUCUUUUACAUCUCCUCCUUCACAUCUAGUGGAUAUGCCUGCUGUAAUACUUGUUGCUGUGUCCCUGCAGUAUAACAUAUUGUGUCUCAUAGGUGUGCAGGGAGACAUUUUUCUUAAAUAGCUUAAUAUUGACAGUGACUUUUUACAAUAACUGUAAUUUUAACUUGAAAAAGGAAGUUUAUCGAGACAAAUUUUAAAUGAUGGCUUGACAAAACCUUGUUGUGUAGAACUUGACAAAGUUUAAUUUCAGCCUUAUUGACAGAAACAAACAUAGAUCUGUUUGAAAUGUCACAUAUAAACCAUCUUUAGCCGCUUUAGGUAAAUAACUAGAAGAAAAACAAAUUGCAAUAAACAGAUAAAUGAUAUAAAAUAAAUGAAUAGUCAUAAAAUAAAUUAAAAUAAUAUGAUAAUGGACUGUUUUGUACAGCUAAAAUAACUAGAAAUGGCUGACACCGGAAGCAUAAUUGGUUAAAAACAUGACAUGAAUAUUUCCUUUAUAUAUAAUUCUUCUCAUAGGGUAGAAGAACACUUGAUUGACUUUAAGGUGGCCGAGAUUUCGAUUCUGAAUUUUGCCCAAUCCUGCUCAAAUGUGUCUUACAUGUUUUUGGAGGAGCCUUUCUGCACAUGCAUUCCAAAAUCACUGUGGCCUAAUAAGCAACUCUUUCAUCAAAGGAGAUUACUUUUUUAUGAUUUGCCAUAGUUUUUCUACCUGUGAAUUUCCUCUCUCAGUUAUUGGGAUGGAGGACAUCCACUGUGCCUUUUACUUUUUUAUUAUUAUCUUAAAUAUCUCUUAAAAUUUGAACUAUCACGGAAACAUAAUGCCAGUGUUACUUAAAUGUCAUGGCACUGGAGACAUUUGCUCUUAAUCUUGAUGCUGUUUUUCACUGUUGAUGCUGUUUUCUGAGGCUCAACCAACUAAGAACUGAAGUUGAUUGCAGUUUUCAAAACUGACAAAAUAUUUGUAUUCCUUAAAUAAAGUUUUUAAAAUAUGAUUUUUGAGUCUGAAUUCAGUGCUGUAUUCAUUGCAAUUUUUGAUUCCUUUACGUCAUGAACUGUAAAUGAGAUAUAUAAUCAAAUCAUCAAUAUUUCUGUAUAUUGUGUACACUUGUAGAAUAGCACCAUAUUGUGUAUGAUCCUUUGCUUGGUUUUGAUCAUCCGCUUUAAAUGUUUCUACAUUCCUG
This is a long non-coding RNA of Cyprinus carpio carpio, 3346 nucleotides long. Lineage: Eukaryota; Metazoa; Chordata; Actinopteri; Cypriniformes; Cyprinidae. The record is from Ensembl.